UGUCUGUUAUGUACUUUCAGGCAACGCCUUCAAAUGUCUGCUAUGGCAGAGCCAUUGCCAAGCUACAAAGAAAAUCGUCGCCCGCACCCACCCCUACGUACAUAUGAGAGGUCUACACAGAGGCCUACAACGAGGCCUACAACGAGACCACCUACGAGAUGUCGUCCGCGCAUUUAGACGAGACCCUAUACAACAUGUUUCAGGCGAAGCAAUCCCAGCACCAAGGAUGAAUAUUUCUUAUUGGGGUACAGGGAUCCCUGUGGAAAGACACAACGCCGAUGGAUGACUGACUUCAGCAUACUCCGAAAUGUCCACUCUUGGCCUGUUUAUAAUGAACAUUUGUUGUGUCGUGUUAUAUUUUUGUCCGGGGCGGAAAAUAGGAGAUCUUCAUAUUUGUGGAUUAUAUUUAUUAUGUUUAUAGAGUUGGGUUGCAUUCCUCAACAGUUUUCUAAAGUGAUUGAAAUGACACUUUUACGUUUAGGCAUUGCUGCCGUAUUUUUGAUUUGACAGUUAUUUAAUUUAUACUGCAAGAAUACUGCGGUCUAUUCUUUAAUUUAAUUUUAUCUGGAUAUCUGUAAACUCUCUUUCUAGGGGACACCUUUUUUGUAAAACCUCAUUUAAUAAAGUUUACUUGGCAUUGCU
Long non-coding RNA from Dermacentor andersoni, 642 nucleotides. RefSeq lists it as uncharacterized. NCBI's taxonomy places the organism in Eukaryota, Metazoa, Arthropoda, Arachnida, Ixodida, Ixodidae. The record is from RefSeq and is a predicted model, not a curated record.